Molecule: long non-coding RNA, 1764 nt
Organism: Epinephelus moara (kelp grouper)
Lineage: Eukaryota; Metazoa; Chordata; Actinopteri; Perciformes; Serranidae
Exons: 3
Source: RefSeq, a predicted model, not a curated record
CCCAGGUUAAAAAAAUCUGCCUUAAUAUAACUUAAUUAUUAUUGCACACCCUCCGAACACCUCGACGUCACUACCUCACGUCACCCAGUCAUGUGACCGCGCCCAACCAAUCACGUCACGCAGAGCGAAAUUUGUAGCAGCUGCGGCGGAUCUCCUACUCAGAGUUGCGGGGAGAGCCGGUCGACAGCUGCGUGCAGAUCCGACUACUGGGCCGCUGGGAGUUGGUGCCGCUGUCGUGCGUGGUUUAUCAAAGGAACUGGCCAGUGUCUCCUUUUGGAGCCGAAGAUGGCGAGCUACUGAAACCACACCUGGGAGCCAACAACCUCUGUAGCACUACAGCAUCGCAGCCCUACUGGUCUGGUAGGAGGCUGUCACAGCCGCCCCACGCAAUUCUCAUUAAACUGCCACAACUCCACUCACAUCCCUUCCCUUCAAUGGACAAUAUUCAAUGGACAAUUCCCCAUGAACGCUCACUCAGACCCUCGUGGAUUGUUGUGACAGUGUGUAGAUUGUGUGCAUGCAACUUUGGGGAUUCAUUUAUUUUCCCAUUGUGAACCUUUGUAUGUUGUUGUGUUAAAUCCUGAACCAAACUGAGCCAUAUCUAAAGUGCACUUAAGUAAUAUUCUAACCGGUUGCCAUAACUGCAGUUUUGUAUAUAUUUUGGGUUUUUUUAUUUUUUUCCUUACCAUUUGUUGUUGUAAAUAUUUUGGGUUGUCAUAUUCACUUUGAAAUACAAGGUACCUGCACUAAUUAACCGCCUCUGGUGUCCUUAUUAGUUGCUGAUCACCAGCUCCCGCAGCCGCAUCUAGACUUCUGAGCCGAUUCUAGCCCAUAGCCACGGUGCAUUGGUUAGCCCACCUGGCUAAUAUUGACAACUUAUUGAUAUUGGCUAACGAGUGCAACUACCCGCUACACCAUGAUCUGUGAUGCGUCCAUAUAUCAAAUGUCAGGGCUGUACGUUAACUUUUUUAGCCCAUAGCACUUGUGCUAUAGAGGGUGAUAAUUUUGUAGUACAGGCCAGAAAGUUUGUAGCACCUGUCACGAUAACAAAUUUUGCUGGGCGAUUAAUUGCGUCAGAAAUUAUUGCGAUAAGUGAUAAUAUUGCGUAAUAUUGUGCUUUUAAGACCAUUUUUAUUAUCGUUGUAAUUUUGCUAUUUUUAGACCAUUUUUUAAACUUAGAUAAUGAUAAUAAAAGCAUAAUGAUGCAAGUACACCCUUUUAAAGAGAAAUAAACAUUUAUUUAACAAGAAUAUUUACGAAUGCAAAAAAAGAACAUUUAAAUGUCCGAAAUAACACGUAAAAAUAUCUAAAUAAAUAAAUAAAGACCUUUAUAAAUACAAAAAAAUAGACUGUCAGUCUCUCACUCUCAGGUGUGCAGUUAAGUUAGUCGUAUUCGCUCUUUUUGUUGAGAUGGUUUUAGAACAAACCCGGCACACUGGACUUUUUUUAUUAUUGAAGUAUUUAGCAACACAGAGACUUGUGGUCAGUGGGAUGUGAGAAUUCUUAAAAUAACAUCAGAUGUGAAGCCCUGACUGUAUCUGACUGAGCCUUAAUGAAAGAUGUUGUCUUGUAUAUUUUUUCUUCUGAAAAUAUUAACCUUAUAGUCAAGCACUGUUUAUUUAGCCUGUGUAGUUGAGGGGACAGGUCAAACUGAUAUGAUGCUGAUUUACAGGAGAAUUCACGUCAGAUGGAGAAUAAACCAUGAACAUAAACUACAGAUCACCUGUAAAGCAUUUUAAUAAAUUAAUCUAUCAUAAUUAAAAC